This 455-nucleotide ribosomal RNA is filed under the name uncultured organism. RNAcentral describes it as "partial 16S ribosomal RNA". It matches the Rfam family "Bacterial small subunit ribosomal RNA", at positions 330 to 801 of the family's 1533-position model. The record is from RNAcentral.
CGUACACUCCUGCGGGAGGCAGCAGUGGGGAAUAUUGGACAAUGGGCGCAAGCCUGAUCCAGUCAUGCCGCGUGAGUGAUGAAGGCCCUAGGGUUGUAAAGCUCUUUCACCGGUGAAGAUAAUGACGGUAACCGGAGAAGAAGCCCCGGCUAACUUCGUGCCAGCAGCCGCGGUAAUACGAAGGGGGCUAGCGUUGUUCGGAUUUACUGGGCGUAAAGCGCACGUAGGCGGACUAUUAAGUCAGGGGUGAAAUCCCGGGGCUCAACCCCGGAACUGCCUUUGAUACUGGUAGUCUUGAGUUCGAGAGAGGUGAGUGGAAUUCCGAGUGUAGAGGUGAAAUUCGUAGAUAUUCGGAGGAACACCAGUGGCGAAGGCGGCUCACUGGCUCGAUACUGACGCUGAGGUGCGAAAGCGUGGGGAGCAAACAGGAUUAGAUACCCCAGUAGUCCCAUGAU